RNAcentral lists this ribosomal RNA (253 nucleotides) under uncultured bacterium. Its description in RNAcentral is "partial 16S ribosomal RNA". It matches the Rfam family "Bacterial small subunit ribosomal RNA", at positions 524 to 776 of the family's 1533-position model. The record is from RNAcentral.
UACGUAGGAGGCAAGCGUUGUCCGGAAUCACUGGGCGUAAAGAGCGUGUAGGCGGUCUGCCAAGUCUGUUGUGAAAGCCCCGGGCUCAACCUGGGAAUGGCAAUGGAUACUGGCAGGCUAGAGUGCGGUAGAGGGUAGUGGAAUUCCCGGUGUAGCGGUGAAAUGCGUAGAGAUCGGGAGGAACACCAGUGGCGAAGGCGGCUACCUGGACCAGCACUGACACUGAGGCACGAAAGCGUGGGGAGCAAACAGG